UCCUUCAUGAGUCGGCAUUGAACUGGUUUAGUCAGUACUCACAGAAAUGGCACAAGAAGAAUACAAGGUGCUUGGUGAUAAACUCUUCACAUACAAAAAAAUGGUUUUACCUUUGAAGGGCAUUCAUAUCAAUACAGUAGAAUAUGUGGACAGUUUGAGGGAUUUUGAAAUAAGGGAUGAGGACGUCUUUCUCAUUACCUUCCCGAAAUCUGGAACAAUAUGGAGCCAGAGAAUCAUGACUUUAUUGUAUGAGAAUGAUUUGUCGGGAAAAGAAGGCGAAACCACGUACGAGCAGAUGCCCUGGUUGGAGCUUCUCCAAAAGGGGAAAGAUUACAACGCACGUCCAUCCCCGAGACUCUUCUCCUCCCAUUUACAAGAGCACUUGGUGCCUAAUGGACUGCAACACAAAGGAAAAAUCAUCUACGUUAUGAGAAACCCAAAGGAUGUCAUGGUGUCCUAUUUUCAUUUUUCCAAAAACAUGAAGACCCUGGAUUCUUCCAAGAACUUAGACGAGAUGCUGGAAAAGUUUUUCACUGGAUGGACGGUCGGUGGAUGUUGGUUUGAUCACAUCAAAGGAUGGAUCUCAAAUAAAGACAAAUACAACAUUCUGAUCCUGACUUACGAAGAGAUGAUCAAGGACCUCAGAUCCGUCGUUGUGAAAAUCUGUGAGUUUGUGGGGAAGAAUCUGUCAGACGCAGCGAUUGAUAAAGUUUUGGAAAAGGCCACUUUCAGCAACAUGAAGAAAGACCCCAAAGCCAACUAUGAAUUCUUUCCUGAGGAGGUCACAGACCGUCCAAAAGGACUAUUUGUGCGCAAAGGAAUAGUUGGAGAUUGGAAGAACACAUUGACUGUAUCUCAGAAUGAAGGAUUUGACCGCGUCUGCAAGGGAAAAUUGGAGGGCCUUCCACUUAAUUUCAUCUGGGACAUCAAGGAGUUACACAAUAAUGAAUAAUAAUGCAUUUACAGGGCAGAGAGUCUGCAGAAGGGGAAAGAUUACAGCGAGACUCUUCUCCUCCUGUUUACACGGGCACAGACGACUGCAAGAGAAAGGAAAAUGCUUGAUGGAUGUUGGUUCCACCACAUCAUAGGAUGUAUCUCAUACAAAGACAAAUACAUCUUGUUCCUGACUUACAAAGAGAUGAUCAAGUCCUCUGUGCCUGUGUAAAGGAGGAGAAGAGUCUCGCUGUGAUCUUUUCCCUUCUGCAGACUCUCUGCCCUGUACUGUAGAUAAACAUGUAAAUAGUUCUGUUCUUUUUUCUGUUCUUUUUUCAUAUACUAAAAAAUAUAUUUUUUUUGUUACCUUUAUAUAUGUGUUUGAAUAAACUUUAUAAACUAACAUGCGAUAUCAUUGUGCGAUAUCAUUCUCAUCAUUGUUUUAUACUUCAUAGUUUUAUUGCUUACUGUUGACUACAGCAGGAGUCAUUUUGCACUUAAAAAAAAAGACUUUGUAUGUUAUAAACUUACCAGACAUCAGCAAGGUAAUGACAAAUCAACAACAGUAUGUCUUAAGAGGUUUGUAAAGACCUUACAUAAUGAAGCGUUAUGUUUUUAUCGUCUUAGAAUGAGCUUUUUCUAUCUACAUACACUACUGUCCCCUCACAUGGAAUUCGUCAUGCUCAUUUCUUUUGGACUUCAGUGUUUGGAGACGUGAAUUGACGUAAAGCUUGGCGAACAGUGGAUACUUUUUUAUUGAUAAUAAAGUAAAAGAAGUGUCCAUUAAAAUAGUGCAUUGGAUAUAUACAGCUAAACAUGUGCUGGAAAGUUUUAAACUGAAUAUUCACUACUCUUGUUGUUUUUUUCAUAUUGAAUAAGAAACCAUAUAGUUUUCCAUGGCAUUCACACAAAAUGUUUUGGGUUAAUGUGGAACGUUUUUUUAUGAAGAGUUAAACAUUGCUUUACAGCUGACGGGAUUUGACAUAUUGCUGUACUUUAAUGAUCAAGGUUUGGAUAAAGAUGAAAUAUAUCUUAAACAAUCGUUAAUUUUACAGGGAAAUUUUAACAUUCCUGAAAUGAAAUGAUUGUUUAUUUUAAUAUUUCACAAAAUUGUACAACUAAAAGCAAUCAGAGCUUUUAAAAUUACGAACAAAUAUGCUAUUGUUGAUUAACCCUAUACUUUUAUUAUUUAUUUUAUUUUUCUCUCUCUUUUUUGCUCCAAGUAAUCAGACUCCGGCUUAUAUAAUGUGAAUGUUUCUCUUUGUAUUCACGAUAUGGCAUUAAUAAAAGCAACAACGACAUCAAAAAUACAUUCAUUGGCUUCUGUUCUUCCUAAAUUCGCAGCUGUUUAGCAGUAAUUUCUGACACGACAACAGUUUGCAUCAUGUUUAUAAGACAUGUUUCUGAACUGGAUUAAAGGUAUAUUUCAUGAGGUAAGUUAGGUUAAGAUAUUUGUUUUUACAGCCAAGCUAUAGUUUACGUCACACAGAACGUGAGCUUUCUGUUCACAAUGCAGGUUACAUUACGAUGGACAAUUGGUUGUGUGCUGUAUUCAUCCAAAACUACUGAAAAUGACAAAAAGAGAAAUGUUUGUGACAACGCAGGACAUUAUAUGACAACAAUAUAUAUUUGAAGAUGUAAGUGUUAAAACCAUUCCAAAAAACGUACAUAAAAUCUGAUCUGAUCAUCCGGGCUUGAAAAGUUUAUGCAAUGAAUGUCAAGGGAAGACAUCUUUAAUUCACAAUGUGUUGUUUGUUUCUUGAGUGUAUGCUUGUUUUCUGUCCACGUCACAGUUUUUAUAAUGCAGUCACUAACAUUAGAUGAUUUACACUGUGAAGAUAAACCUCAGUAGAAUUGUGGUCCGUGAAAAGGAGUUCCUGGAAAGGCUGGACAAAGUGCUGAAAGUCAACUGGCUUUAUGUCAAUAACACAUCCUCCUACAUCAAUAUACAUAAUCAAAAGAAAAAAAAUCAAACAAUGUUGUUAGACACAGUAUACAUUGGACAUUUUCCAGAUAAUACAAGAACACAAUCUAUCAUGUAUUUCUAUUAUUAGAGCAGAUAUUUCUAAAACCUUUCUUGUAUUAAGUGUUUGUGCCAAGUGACUCAAAGCUUGAAAUGUAAGUAAAAAUAAAAAGCUAAAAGGGGGUGUCAUAGAUAUUUUCUUAGCUUUAUACAGGUGAAAUUUCACAAGAAGUAUAAUUUAUUUCAGUGUUUUGUCGAGAAGAGCCAGUGUUAAAGUCCAAGACAAUAAUCAUAGGAUUAUCUUUGACAAUGAACUUAUGAAAUCAAAAAUCAGCAUAAACACUUUCAAAAAUCUUGUGAAAACUACCGCUGCAGAAGAAAUGUGUAAGUGUUUCUGGUUUAAGUUUAAAAUUAACUUAAUGGUCAGACGUCCUUAUUAAACUUAUUAAUGAAAGCAUUACAUGGAUAAUAUCUGUGCAAUGUCUUAAAAUUUAUUUCCUUUACCUUAUUGGGCAAUACGAAACUAUUACAUUCUCACCAUAUUUUCUCAAUAAAAGAGAUGUGAAAAAAUGGGCUUCCGUUUCACAAGUGCAUUUGGACAGAAACAAACAUUUUGGAUGAGACACUUUCUAAUAGGAAAAUUGUUACAUUUUCUAUCUAUAAUAUGUUCACCUCCAAUAACAAUAUUUGCGAUCUCUUUGCCAAUCGCGUCAUAAAGAUGUGUUUUUAACAAGAUGAAGCAAUCUUAUACUCUCCGUUUAGCUAUCCAUCACCAUUCCACACUCCAGCCCAGUAUGUGAAGGGAAUGCACCAAAUAUCUGUUUGCAAACCACCAUAAAUCUCUAAAAGAAGAAGCCGCUGUUAUCGCGAUAUCUUGUUGUGAAGAAAAGGCGGAUACGUUGAGAGGCAGGUUACCCAGGCAACAACCGCACGAACUGUAAACAUUCAUCAGCUUCUGUUCUUGUUCAAUUUGAAGCAGGUUAGCAGAUAUUUCCAGACACAACUUUUAAGGUCACAGAUUUAUCAUGCAGACACCAGAUUAUUUGGAGAUAGACCUCAGUAGAUUGGUGAUCCACAACGAGAAGUUCCUGAAUAUUCUGGAAGAAGUGAUGAAACUCAACUGGCUUCAUGAAAGAAUCCAGCCGGAGAAGUCAGAAUUGAUGGCAAGAACUCUUAGUUCCCUUGCCUCUCGUGCUGUGGAGAACAAUCAUUUCAUCGAUCUUCAAGUCCUCCUAGAACAUGUGGAUGUCAAUUCUGAAGACUAUAUGGGAUAUACACCUCUCCAUACAGCCUGUCUGUUGGGAAAUGGAGAAAUGGUUAUGUUCCUACUGGACAAUGGUGCAGUGAACCGCUCUAAACAUUGCCCAUUACACUUGGCCAUUAAGAACAGGAAUUUUCUAGUUAUCGAGCUCCUGAGGUGGAAAGGGUUCACUGUUAAACUACACCCAGUGAGAAUUGGCGUGGAAUUGAUCCAAACAGUACGAAAGAGAGAUCAUGCGCUACUGCAUGCCUGGUUUCUCUCAGGGGUGGACAUGGACACCUCUGACUACAAUGGGUGGACAGCAAUGAAGGAGGCUGUUCGCUUGGGGGAAAACACCAUGAUAACCAAGCUAGUGCACUUACAGAAGCACGCCACUGGUAUAAAAACUUUCUUAUUGAACAAUAUUAGAAGUGGACAUUAUAAAAUGAUCUUCAUGCUAUUUUCUAUAGUACAAAUAAAAAAGCUGUUCAAUCUUUUUUCUCUGAUAAUUACAACUGUAUUCUUUUCUUAUGUGAUAAUUACUGCAGAGCCUCGGCAGUUUGUUAUGUAUAUGUUACUUUGUGCAAAAUAUUUAUAUUUUAAAACUGUUUGUGUUCAAUUAAAGAAAGAAAGUUCUAAGGAUGUGUAAAUGAGGAAAGACAUUUUGUUUCAUUUUGUUGUGAACUUUUUCUUAACUCAUGCACACUUUUCCUUUCUCUUGCAGUCGUCUGUGCCCGUGUACAGGAGGAGAAGAGUCUCGCUUUAAUCUUUCCCCUUCUGCAGACUCUCUGCCCUGUACUGUAGAUAAACUUGUAAAUAGUUCUGUUCUUUUUCUUUUUGUGUUCUUUUGUCAAUAAGAUUGGUGUUUUAUCUGCGUUAUAAAUGUGUUUGAAUAAACUUUAUAAACUAA
This is an RNA transcript of Triplophysa dalaica, 5046 nucleotides long. It is a transcript of the gene named amine sulfotransferase-like, with no coding region annotated. The transcript is spliced from 14 exons. NCBI's taxonomy places the organism in Eukaryota, Metazoa, Chordata, Actinopteri, Cypriniformes, Nemacheilidae. The record is from RefSeq and is a predicted model, not a curated record.